AAUAAAUGCGGUUUUGCACUAUUUAUGUCCAACGUUCGAUUGUUCAUCUUAUUUGAAUAUUUUUAUGAUUAAUAUUUUUUAUUGUUAUUAAAUGAUAAAACAUGAAUAACACUUUAUGUGUGACUAUUUUUUUUAAUCUUUUAUAAAUUUUUCAAAUAAGACGGACAAUCAAACGUUGGACACGGAUACCCACGGCUGCACUUAUU
MicroRNA precursor from Oryza sativa Indica Group (long-grained rice), 206 nucleotides. It matches the Rfam family "MIR812 microRNA precursor family". NCBI's taxonomy places the organism in Eukaryota, Viridiplantae, Streptophyta, Magnoliopsida, Poales, Poaceae. The record is from Rfam.